Molecule: ribosomal RNA, 455 nt
Filed under: uncultured organism
Description: bacterial SSU rRNA
Rfam family: Bacterial small subunit ribosomal RNA
Source: RNAcentral
GUGCAGCAGGCGAGAAUUUUUCUCAAUGGGGGAAACCCUGAAGGAGCGACGCCGCGUGGAGGAUGAAGGCUUUCGGGUUGUAAACUCCUGUUAUUUGAGAACAAGUGGGACGCAGUAACUACGCGUCCCUUGAUAGUAUCAGAAGAGGAAGAGACGGCUAACUCUGUGCCAGCAGCCGCGGUAAUACAGAGGUCUCAAGCGUUGUUCGGAUUCAUUGGGCGUAAAGGGUGCGUAGGUGGCGCGCUAAGUCAGGUGUGAAAUCUCGGGGCUUAACUCCGAAACUGCAUUUGAUACUGGCGUGCUUGAGGACUGGAGAGGAGACUGGAAUUCAUGGUGUAGCAGUGAAAUGCGUAGAGAUCAUGAGGAAGACCAGUGGCGAAGGCGGGUCUCUGGACAGUUCCUGACACUGAGGCACGAAGGCCAGGGGAGCAAACGGGAUUAGAUACCCCCGUAGU